CUGUCAAUUAGAUGCCUAUCUCUUCCGGUCAAUAAAAAAGAGAUCUCACGGCAUGGAGGGACACCCAAGCUCCAUAAUUCGGUCGCACGGAGUUGCUCCGUUUUUCAUGCUCGCCGGCCACCCAAGCUCCAUCUACUGGGUGCCAUAGCCGGUCUGCUGCCAUCUUCUUAGGUUGGUGAAGUUACAGUUGCUCAUACUACCAGAUAGCCUAAUCUUCAGGAUAAUUUUACUAUGGUAUAUAUUUAUACUCAGCUCAUCUAUCAUGUAAGUUACAUGGUAUAAAUUGGACUCUUUUACACAAACAAUCUCCCACGUUAACUUAACAUAUAUACAUUUUUUAGAUCCUAAUUUAAAGCAAAGUAAUUGUCUUAAUGUGGAAGUUUCAGCAUUUAAUUGUCUUAGUGUAGUUAUAUGGUGCAUGAAGUUGUUUUAGCUACAGUUUUAGUUCAGGUAUACCUAUUUUUAUAAUAUUCACUGUCAAUCGAUUAUUUGUGCCAGCAAGGUAAGGAGCUACUACAAAUUCUUUCAUAUUUAUCUGGCUUAAUUUAGGUGCUAUUUUAUUCACACACAUGUGCACAAGUAACAGAUGUCAAUCAAUGCUAAAUCACUCAGGUCACUGUGUAUAUGUGAUCCUGCCUCUUGAAUAAUCAGUGGAACACCAUUGUGAACGGCUCAAGGAGAAAGCUAAUGUAGUUGUCGCCUUGCAGGUACAAUUAAUGUCAAGUAAGGUGGGUGAGAAAAAUGCCGGUGCAGGACAAUUGAAGUGGAGGUGUGAUCGCUGCAUUGGGAUCAAUGAUUACUUAAGAGACAAAGGUUUGAUUUAGUUGCGGCAAUGGCAAGAGCAUAUUGUGCAGAGGAAGAGGAUGAACCUUAAUGCGUUGAACCUUGUAUACUAGAACCUUGCAGGUGUUUUUGCAGAAGUAUUCUGUUGUGUACAUGUAAAAUUAUUUUGAUGCGCCCUUGUUAGGCGUUGAACCUUAAUGCGUGUAGUCGGUGGA
Molecule: long non-coding RNA, 998 nt
Organism: Hordeum vulgare subsp. vulgare (domesticated barley)
Lineage: Eukaryota; Viridiplantae; Streptophyta; Magnoliopsida; Poales; Poaceae
Exons: 3
Source: RefSeq, a predicted model, not a curated record